UGAAGGCCCUCGGGUUGUAAACCGCUGUCAGUUGGGAGGAAAUUAUUUAGGGCUAUCCCUAUUUAUUGACCCAUCUUCAGAGGAAGGACAGGCUAAGUUCGUGCCAGCAGCCGCGGUAAUACGAACUGUCCAAACGUUAUUCGGAAUCACUGGGCUUAAAGGGUGCGUAGGCGGCGUAGUAAGUUGGAUGUGAAAUCCUACGGCUCAACCGUAGAACUGCGUCCAAUACUGCUAUGCUUGAGGGAGAUAGAGGUAAGCGGAACUUCGGGUGGAGCGGUGAAAUGCGUAGAUAUCCGAAGGAACACCAGUGGCGAAAGCGGCUUACUGGGUCUCUUCUGACGCUGAGGCACGAAAGCUAGGGUAGCGAACGGGAUUAGAUACCCCGGUAGUCCUAGCCGUAAACGAUGAGCACUGGAUUGAAGGAAUUCCCAUAUUCUUUUGGUCGUACUGAAAAAGUUAAGUGCUCCGCCUGGGGAGUAUGUCCGCAAGGAUGAAACUCAAAGGAAUUGACGGGGGCUCACACAAGCGGUGGAGGAUGUGGCUUAAUUCGAGGCUACGCGAAGAACCUUAUCCUGGUCUUGACAUGUAUGGAUUAACUCUGUGAAAGCAGAGCCACGCCCUCGGGUGGAACAUACACAGGUGCUGCAUGGCUGUCGUCAGCUCGUGUCGUGAGAUGUCGGGUUAAGUCCCUUAACGAGCGAAACCCUUAUUCCUAGUUGC
This 720-nucleotide ribosomal RNA is filed under the name uncultured bacterium. RNAcentral describes it as "bacterial SSU rRNA". It matches the Rfam family "Bacterial small subunit ribosomal RNA", at positions 409 to 1118 of the family's 1533-position model. The record is from RNAcentral.